RNAcentral lists this unclassified non-coding RNA (2174 nucleotides) under Haliotis rufescens (red abalone). RNAcentral's name for it is "3-keto-steroid reductase/17-beta-hydroxysteroid dehydrogenase 7-like, transcript variant X2". Lineage: Eukaryota; Metazoa; Mollusca; Gastropoda; Lepetellida; Haliotidae. The record is from RNAcentral.
CAACCAGACCACAAAGAUGGCGGCUGGUAAAGUUGCUCUAGUUACCGGGGCCAAUGCUGGUCUUGGCCUAACUCUGUGUGAACGUCUACUCUCGGAACACAAAGAUCUGAAGCUAUGCCUUGCAUGUCGGAACAAGCUCCGAGCUGAAGUGGCCCAAGAAGCUCUGAAACUUUCCCAUCCUGAUGCCGACAUCUCCAUCAUAAUCGUGGACACCUCCAGCCUACAGUCAGUGUACAGGGCAGCCCGGGAGAUCAAACACAGGUACAGCCGCCUGGACCUCCUGUACCUCAACGCGGGCAUCAUGCCAGUCACCGGCUUUAACUGGUCCCACUUUGUCAAGGGCCUCUUCUCCAGUGACUGUGUGCACAUGCUGACUACCGCCCAGGGACUGCUGAAGCAGGCUGACUUCACCACGGAGGAGGGAUUCCGCAACAUCUUCGCAACCAACCUGUUCGGACAUUUUGUUCUGAUUCGCCAGCUCGAAGACAUCAUAGGGUCUACCAACAAGCCAGGCCACGUAACACAAGUUGUCUGGACAUCGUCCAGUGCUGCCCUCAAGGACAAUUUUGACAUAAAAGACAUACAGCAUAAGAACGGAUGUGACCCCUACAGUUCAUCUAAAUAUGCAACAGACAUGCUCAGUGUGGUUCUCAAUGACAAGCUCAACCACAAGGGUAUCUACUCCCACAGCGUGUGCCCCGGGCUGGUCAUGACGAACCUCACCAAUGGCAUCAUGCCGCCAUGGUUCUGGACAAUAAUGUGGCCAAUCAUAAUGCUGGUCCGGUUCUUCGUACCCAGCACAAACUAUGAGACGUACAAUGGCUGUGAGGCGCAGAUGUGGCUGUCCCAUCAACAACCUACAACCCUGGAUAGUCAUGUCAAGUUCUGUAGCGAGAGCUCAGUGUUUGGUCAUAGAUCUGUCAAACAGAAGAAGCUGAACAUCAACAUGGAGCAGGCGGAGUCUCUGUACACGCAGCUGGAGUCUCUGGAGGGGGAGUUCCGACAACAACACCACAAAUCUGGACAAUAGCACAACACAUCUUCACAACACCACAAAUCUGGACAAUAGCACAACACAUCUUCACAAUACCACAAAUUAUGUGGACGAAACCAUGACAUCUAGACAAUAGAUGGAGCUACCUCAUAUUCAUACCUAAGGGUUUGAUGACAUCUUAUUACGUCAUCGUCUCCUUGUCCGAGGCACCCAAUCUACCAUCAUAGUGAACACUUAAGUAUAAUUAUUUUACAAAAUGUUAUUGUUAAUUAUUCUUGAAAGUAAUUACCUGCCCUAAUGUCAAGGUUGUAAACAACAUUGUGUGCUAUCCCCUGGCUGUCCCCCUUCAACCAGUCACUGACAACUCCCCAAUAAAUUGUUUGUCUAAACUUUGAUGACAGCCAACCGUAACAAGUGUCAUGUAUUAGUAUGAAUUGUGUACCGCUAACUUGUAACUAUUUUUCAUGUAUUAAUUCUUUAACCAAUGACAAUUAAGAAGGAGAUUUAGUAAGUCGCAAUUUAUGUAUUGACACUGACUUACUGGGUGUAAGAGACAGGGAGGUGAACGGCCUGAUGAAGGGGCAAGAAGAGCCUGUUAGCAUCACCUACAUCGCCCACUACCCUCCUCCAAGUGAUGACAGUGACUUACUGGGUGUACGAGGACGAGGAUGACCACAGCUUUGUGGAGGACAGGGAGGUGAACGGCCUGAUGAAGGGGCAAGAAGUAGCCUGUUAGCAUCACCUACAUCGCCCACUACCCUCCUCCAAGUGAUGACAGUGACUUACUGGGUGUACGAGGACGAGGAUGACCACAGUUUUGUGGAGGACAGGGAGGUGAACGGCCUGAUGAAGGGGCAAGAAGCAGUCUGUUAGCAUCACCUACAUCGACCACUACCCUCCUCCAAGUGAUGACAGUGACUUACUGGGUGUACGAGGACGAGGAUGACCACAGUUUUGUGGAGGACAGGGAGGUGAAUGGCCUGAUGAAGGGGCAAGAAGUAGCCUGUUAGCAUCACCUACAUCGCCCACUACCCUCCUCCAAGUGAUGACACUGACAGUGACUUACUGGUGUACGAGGACGAGGAUGACCACAGCUUUGUGGAGGACAGGGAGGUGAACAUCCUGAUGAAGGGGCAAGAAGCAGCCUGUUAGCAUCACCUGCAUCGCCCACUAUCCUCCU